RNAcentral lists this unclassified non-coding RNA (1186 nucleotides) under Hevea brasiliensis (rubber tree). The record is from RNAcentral. Lineage: Eukaryota; Viridiplantae; Streptophyta; Magnoliopsida; Malpighiales; Euphorbiaceae.
AUAAUUUGGAACUGCAUAAAUCAUCAUUUCAUAAGUGAAAGAGGUUUUAGUUUUAAAAAAAUCGUUUUUCAGCAUCCAACAAUUAGGACAUCUCAGGAAAGACAUUAGUUACAAAUCUAAAAUACUGGAUGAACACAAUUCAGUGCCAAUCGUUCAUUAGCUUAGAGGCCCUCAAAUGUAGACAAGCCAACAAUCAUAACCAUUGAGUGGAAAAAAAUGUUUAUCUAGCCAUUAGUCAUGGUCAUUCGGAACCCAGUGACAUAAGCAAAUCCUGAGCACAGGCUCCCCGUCAAAGAAUAGUGAUAAUGUUAAUUGAUUGUUUCCUAUAUUUGCUAAUUUUCAUUAAUUGCUUCCUUCAUACAUUUGUUUAGCAAAACCUGCAAUAUGACAAAGAAACUAGCUUUCUAUAUUUAGCAAAACAGGUUAGAUACCCGGCUCUGGAAUAGCAGUAGGAGCAUUAAGCUUGGAUUCAAGAUUGUUCUGGUCUCGUAAGACAGCUGGAUAGUGGUGAAUUUGUUCCUCAUCAAUGAAGUGAAAAACAUCAUUGAGGACAAAAUAGCCCUUCUCCUGAGGUGCAAGGAAAAACGUUUCCACAAAUUUCCUCCUUCCACUGAAAUCCUUCACUUGCACAGAACCAGAAACCAUCACAAGAACACCACCAUUCCACGAUUCCAAGGAGUGUGCUGUCCUUAUUUCAAUUCCAGCAUAAUUGAGUGUCAUAAUAAGCGCAUGGAUUUGAAGCAUUGAAGUGGCGUUUUCUCUAAUAGUGCCAUCUAUACGAAGCAUAGUACUGGCAUCACUGUAAAACUGGUAAACGAAUUCCGGCUGUUGCUGUAGUAACUGAUAGUAUUGCCCCACAAAGUACGUCCCAACCUGAGCAGCAGUGACAGGAAUGGGAUAGGGAGUCGACAUUUGGAAAGAAAAACCAGUAAAAACCCUAAUGUGAAAAGCCCAAACAGAUCGAGAACUGGCCCUCCUCUCAAGAUCUGCAGCAGCAGCAGCAGCAAUAGCAGCAUGAACGAGGCCGGAUAAGGCAGCACUACAUCUUGGGUGGAGGGAUAGAUUUGAGGGAAGAUUUUCUCCACUGUUUAGCUUUUUGUUUUGUUCCUUUGCUGUUGCGCGUUUGGGUAUCACCUCCGCCUUUUCUCCUUCUGCCCUUUUUUUCUUAGCCGUCGACCUUUUUUUU